RNAcentral lists this non-coding RNA (122 nucleotides) under Lacicoccus alkaliphilus. RNAcentral describes it as "Salinicoccus alkaliphilus TPP sequence". It matches the Rfam family "TPP riboswitch aptamer (THI element)". Rfam says of the family: Vitamin B(1) in its active form thiamin pyrophosphate (TPP) is an essential coenzyme that is synthesised by coupling of pyrimidine and thiazole moieties in bacteria. The previously detected thiamin-regulatory element, thi box was extended, resulting in a new, highly conserved RNA secondary structure, the THI element, which is widely distributed in eubacteria and also occurs in some archaea. Analysis of operon structures identified a large number of new candidate thiamin-regulated genes, mostly transporters, in various prokaryotic organisms. RNAcentral also lists the same sequence under 1 other name. The record is from RNAcentral. Lineage: Bacteria; Bacillati; Bacillota; Bacilli; Caryophanales; Salinicoccaceae.
CAGUACCACUAGGGGUGCAUUGAGCUGAGACAGCAGAUUUCCGGAGAUGAUGAUCCGUAAAGUGCUGAUCCCUUCGACUUGAUCUGGGUAAUACCAGCGUAAGGAAGUGGUUUAGUACAUAA